This 438-nucleotide ribosomal RNA is filed under the name uncultured bacterium. Its description in RNAcentral is "bacterial SSU rRNA". It matches the Rfam family "Bacterial small subunit ribosomal RNA", at positions 340 to 773 of the family's 1533-position model. The record is from RNAcentral.
UACGGAAGGCAGCAGUGGGGAAUAUUGCACAAUGGGCGCAAGCCUGAUGCAGCCAUGCCGCGUGUAUGAAGAAGGCCUUCGGGUUGUAAAGUACUUCAGUCGUGAGGAAGGUGUUAAGGUUAAUAACCUUAGCAAUUGACGUUAGCGACAGAAGAAGCACCGGCUAACUCCGUGCCAGCAGCCGCGGUAAUACGGAGGGUGCGAGCGUUAAUCGGAAUUACUGGGCGUAAAGGGCACGCAGGCGGUUAAUUAAGUUGGAUGUGAAAUCCCCGGGCUUAACCUGGGAAUGGCAUUCAAGACUGGUUAGCUAGAGUCUUGUAGAGGGGGUAGAAUUCCAUGUGUAGCGGUGAAAUGCGUAGAGAUGUGGAGGAAUACCGGUGGCGAAGGCGGCCCCUGGACAAAGACUGACGCUCAUGUGCGAAAGCGUGGGGAGCAAAC